Long non-coding RNA from Thalassophryne amazonica, 279 nucleotides. RefSeq lists it as uncharacterized. The transcript is spliced from 4 exons. NCBI's taxonomy places the organism in Eukaryota, Metazoa, Chordata, Actinopteri, Batrachoidiformes, Batrachoididae. The record is from RefSeq and is a predicted model, not a curated record.
UGUAUUAUAUGGCUAUGAUGCUAUGCGCGCUCUGAUUGGCUGAUUUCCUGUCUAAUAUUUUCCCUUAUCAGGCUGUUACCAUGACAAUUGGUCCGGAUCGCGUAUCACAUUCAUUACAAACUAGAAAGCUAAAAACACAGUUAGAAAAACCAAGUCAGACAUGAACGUACUCCAUAAAUAUCUAAACAGCAUUGGAAAAACAUACAGAUUGAAAGUUUACCAGCUAACCUGACCAUCUUUUAAGCAAGUUCUUCAUCGAGGUGAAGAAAUGUAACAGGU